UCUGCAGCCAGUGACCAGAACUUCCAACAGCAACCCCCUCCCCAUCCCCCCACCCCCCACACACACACACACUUGUGCCAGGGACUGAGCGGUCCUGCCCUAUGAGGUUGGCUUUGAGACUACAUGAGAUUAGAGAGACACAUGGGGAGAAGGGCUGGCUUCAUGACACAAGUCUGGUCAAUGAGACAAAGGGGAUGUCUGCUGAGGAUUCUCAGAAAAGAUUUGCCUUGUCCUCUUCUUCUGGUCUUGAACCUAGAUGUGCUGGCUGAAGGUGACACCAAAGACCUGCUCUGCCCCCUCAUGACCUGUGACAUGGCACUACCACGCGUAGAAGGACGUUAACGCACAGAUAUAAUUAACAUGCUCCGUAUUUUCUUAUGUGCUCAACAAUAUUGUAAGAGCUGCCCUAUUUAUUGGGCCCACAUUGUGGGGUAAGCUGAUAAAUAAAAAAGAGGAUUAAAUCUAAUACCUGUAUAGG
Long non-coding RNA from Acinonyx jubatus (cheetah), 478 nucleotides. RefSeq lists it as uncharacterized. NCBI's taxonomy places the organism in Eukaryota, Metazoa, Chordata, Mammalia, Carnivora, Felidae. The record is from RefSeq and is a predicted model, not a curated record. The transcript is spliced from 3 exons.